AGCUGCAGGUAAAUCACCCUAAAUGGGCCUGACCUUGUUAAAUGUCAGAAACUAAAGAGGGUUGAGCCUGGCUAUUGCUUAGGAUGGGAGACUAACUGGGAAUAUCAGGUGUAGAUU
Molecule: ribosomal RNA, 117 nt
Filed under: Petromyzon marinus (sea lamprey)
Lineage: Eukaryota; Metazoa; Chordata; Hyperoartia; Petromyzontiformes; Petromyzontidae
Source: RNAcentral